CUUCGUCUCUCUUACUUUAUCAUGUAUCUCUCUCUUACUAUCUUCAAUUGUACUAUUCUGGUUUUACUUUAAGAAUUUUUCACUUUUGGCUCGAGUUUUGCUUUCGCGAUGUUGUAUUCCGACUGACAGGUGUCAAAUUUCUUGAUUCCGUCCAGAUUUCCCAAAAGGAUGUUCUUCGUGAAGUUUUGGAGAUCCGAGGGGACUGUAAUUGGUUGUCACUGGAGAUUAAGAAAUAUUUGACGAGAAUAGAGAAAUGAUCUGUGAACGAAAUCCCCAAAGGUCAGUAAUGCAUUUCUGUCAUGUCAAGUAUUAUUUCUGAUUGGCAAAAUGACUUACUUUAGCUAGGUAGUUUGUUCUAAUUUUAAGGAUUCAACUGAUUAAAAAAGAAGCAGAUGGGCUUGCAGUAGGGGCAAUGAGGCUGAUGGAAGCCGAGGUGAGUAAGAUGAAGGGUACAUCACUUGAUGCCAUCCAUAAAUUCCUAAAAUUAUAUGUUCGCCAGGAGAGAACGUGUAAUAGUUUUGAUUUAAAGAAACUUCUUUUGAGUAUAUUAUAUGUGUAUUUGUGUGAUGAACAUGUAAGCAUAUAUCUGAAAUUAUAGUUGGAAGACUUUCCAAGUGAAGCACUUCUGCUUUAGUGAUAACUGAAUUAAGUUCUCGCUGGUUGUUUUAAGCUAAU
Long non-coding RNA from Nicotiana attenuata, 675 nucleotides. RefSeq lists it as uncharacterized. The transcript has 3 exons. The record is from RefSeq and is a predicted model, not a curated record. NCBI's taxonomy places the organism in Eukaryota, Viridiplantae, Streptophyta, Magnoliopsida, Solanales, Solanaceae.